Long non-coding RNA from Coccinella septempunctata (seven-spotted ladybird), 428 nucleotides. RefSeq lists it as uncharacterized. The transcript has 2 exons. The record is from RefSeq and is a predicted model, not a curated record. NCBI's taxonomy places the organism in Eukaryota, Metazoa, Arthropoda, Insecta, Coleoptera, Coccinellidae.
UUUAUGAAAAAAGUAGUAAGCUAUGAUUCAUCGAAUUUACCACCCUGCAAACGUGAACUACAUCAACAAUUAUUGAGAACUGCCUACAUUACAAAUAUAUGGCGAAAUUGUAAUUUAAAAGAACCAACAAUUCUUACACCUGAAAAUAACGGUUGGAACUUAAUUGAUAGUCGUUACGAAUUUAAUUGGUUUGAGGGGAAUACGGUUCCAUCUUCUAUAUACCUACGACAUACUUUUACAAGGACCUGCUGAUACUGCCACAGCACAAUCGACUGAAACUGAGGAAUGCAUUUCAGAUGAGGAAAACAUUGUUGAAGAAUCAGAUGAUGAUGAAAACAGUGAUAGCGAAAUUUCGGAUGAUGCUGAAGAAAAUGAAUGUUAAAAAUAAUGUAGAUUGCAUAAAACCCAAUAAAAUACAUUGCAUUUAC